RNAcentral lists this long non-coding RNA (734 nucleotides) under Rattus norvegicus (Norway rat). RNAcentral's name for it is "long non-coding RNA NONRATT023742". The record is from RNAcentral. Lineage: Eukaryota; Metazoa; Chordata; Mammalia; Rodentia; Muridae.
AUCCAUGGAUUUAGCCAACCUUGGAUUGAAAAUAUUUGGGGAAGAAUGCACCUGUUCUGAACGUGUUCAGAGUUUUCCUUUCCUGAACAACUGCUGGAACAGCUGUUUACAAAGCAUUUGCAUAGGAGAUGAAAGUUUACCAAAGGAUAUGCAUAGACAGAAACUCAAGUAUCCUAGAGUCACUUCAAACUGUGUGUCCAAGGACAACUUUAAACUUCGGAUCCUCCUCCCUCUACGUCUUGAGUUCCGGGUUUACGAUUAUUGGUAUGUACCACUGUGCCUUUUUAUAUGAUGCUAGGGUUAGAACCCAGGGCUUCAGGCCUACUAGGCAAGCACACUACCAACUCAGCUAUACCAGAAGCCCCUGGCUUCCCAUUUCUUUUAAGUGCCCUGACUGUUUAGCACACAUUUGAGCAUGAGGUAAGGCUCAGUGGCAGAGUUCUUGCCUGCCCAGCAUGUGCGAGGCCCAUGUUUGUUCUCCAGCACUAAUAAAUGAAUGAGUGAGUGAGCGAGCGAAUGAAUGAAUGAAUGAAUGAAUGAAUAGACAAAUAAAACUGGUGCAUUUUGAAUCAUAUGAAGAAGACAAUGAAUCCCCUUUAAGACAGUACUUAGGAAUAACCACCAUUAGCAUUAACACAUAUUUUAUGUUCUGUCUGCAAAUACAUAUGCACAUAAAUGUGCUUUUAAAGUACACUUGCACUGAGUACUCGAGCACUGGCUGUUUUCCUUUCCCA